This 90-nucleotide transfer RNA is filed under the name Tepidimonas taiwanensis. RNAcentral's name for it is "tRNA-Leu". The record is from RNAcentral. Lineage: Bacteria; Pseudomonadati; Pseudomonadota; Betaproteobacteria; Burkholderiales.
GCCGGUCGUCCUGCAGGAACAGGUGGGCGCUCAGGUCGCGCUGCAGCCGCUGCACGACGGCGACCGCCUGUUCGACGUCGGUGUCCGGCA